Molecule: ribosomal RNA, 253 nt
Filed under: uncultured bacterium
Lineage: Bacteria
Description: partial 16S ribosomal RNA
Rfam family: Bacterial small subunit ribosomal RNA
Source: RNAcentral
UACGUAGGGUGCGAGCGUUAAUCGGAAUUACUGGGCGUAAAGCGUGCGCAGGCGGUGAUGUAAGACAGAUGUGAAAUCCCCGGGCUCAACCUGGGAACUGCAUUUGUGACUGCAUCGCUGGAGUGCGGCAGAGGGGGAUGGGAUUCCGCGUGUAGCAGUGAAAUGCGUAGAUAUGCGGAGGAACACCGAUGGCGAAGGCAAUCCCCUGGGCCUGCACUGACGCUCAUGCACGAAAGCGUGGGGAGCAAACAGG